RNAcentral lists this ribosomal RNA (826 nucleotides) under Mycobacterium sp. RNAcentral describes it as "bacterial SSU rRNA". It matches the Rfam family "Bacterial small subunit ribosomal RNA", at positions 107 to 928 of the family's 1533-position model. The record is from RNAcentral. Lineage: Bacteria; Bacillati; Actinomycetota; Actinomycetes; Mycobacteriales; Mycobacteriaceae.
UGAGUAACACGUGGGCAAUCUGCCCUGCACUUCGGGAUAAGCCUGGGAAACUGGGUCUAAUACCGGAUAGGACCUUUAGACGCAUGUCUUUUGGUGGAAAGCUUUUGCGGUGUGGGAUGGGCCCGCGGCCUAUCAGCUUGUUGGUGGGGUGAUGGCCUACCAAGGCGACGACGGGUAGCCGGCCUGAGAGGGUGUCCGGCCACACUGGGACUGAGAUACGGCCCAGACUCCUACGGGAGGCAGCAGUGGGGAAUAUUGCACAAUGGGCGCAAGCCUGAUGCAGCGACGCCGCGUGGGGGAUGACGGCCUUCGGGUUGUAAACCUCUUUCACCAUCGACGAAGGUUCGGGUUUUCUCGGAUUGACGGUAGGUGGAGAAGAAGCACCGGCCAACUACGUGCCAGCAGCCGCGGUAAUACGUAGGGUGCGAGCGUUGUCCGGAAUUACUGGGCGUAAAGAGCUCGUAGGUGGUUUGUCGCGUUGUUCGUGAAAUCUCACGGCUUAACUGUGAGCGUGCGGGCGAUACGGGCAGACUAGAGUACUGCAGGGGAGACUGGAAUUCCUGGUGUAGCGGUGGAAUGCGCAGAUAUCAGGAGGAACACCGGUGGCGAAGGCGGGUCUCUGGGCAGUAACUGACGCUGAGGAGCGAAAGCGUGGGGAGCGAACAGGAUUAGAUACCCUGGUAGUCCACGCCGUAAACGGUGGGUACUAGGUGUGGGUUUCCUUCCUUGGGAUCCGUGCCGUAGCUAACGCAUUAAGUACCCCCGCCUGGGGGAGUACGGCCGCAAGGCUAAAACUCAAAAGGAAUUUGACGGGGGGCCCGCACAA